CAAAAAACAAUGAGGCGUACGU
This 22-nucleotide non-coding RNA is filed under the name Arabidopsis thaliana (thale cress). Lineage: Eukaryota; Viridiplantae; Streptophyta; Magnoliopsida; Brassicales; Brassicaceae. The record is from RNAcentral.